Molecule: ribosomal RNA, 245 nt
Filed under: uncultured bacterium
Lineage: Bacteria
Description: partial small subunit ribosomal RNA
Rfam family: Bacterial small subunit ribosomal RNA
Source: RNAcentral
AGAAUCAACGCUGGCGGCGUGCCUAACACAUGCAAGUCGAACGAGAAAGUGGAGCAAUCCAUGAGUAAAGUGGCGCACGGGUGAGUAACACGUGACUAACCUACCCUUGAGUGGGGGAUAACCUAGGGAAACCUGGGCUAAUACCGCAUAAUACCUUCGGGUCAAAGGAGCAAUUCGCUUAAGCGAGGGGUCGCGGCCGAUUAGUUAGUUGGCGGGGUAAUGGCCCACCAAGACGAUGAUCGGUA